Long non-coding RNA from Camellia sinensis, 341 nucleotides. RefSeq lists it as uncharacterized. The record is from RefSeq and is a predicted model, not a curated record. Lineage: Eukaryota; Viridiplantae; Streptophyta; Magnoliopsida; Ericales; Theaceae.
ACUUUGAGUUUAGUUUGAGAGUGUUUAGAGUGUAAGUUUAGCAUUUUUUUUUUUUUUUUAUUUUUUUACAAAAGAAGAGAAGUAGAAGAGUGAGUCAAAGAAAAAGAAAUUGGAAGCUAGCAAGGUAUUGAAGAAACUUUCGUAACCAACGAGCAACCAGAGACAUUUGAAGAUUUCUGGCUGAUAUAAAAAAGUUAGAAUUUGCUUUGUUAUAAGUCCAUUUGUAUUUUCAUUUUCUGUUGGGAUUGUAAUAAUGAUAUAACCUUGUUUUGUAAUAAAAAUUUGUAACUCUGUAAUAUUAUUUGCUUAUAUGCAUAUGAAUAUUUUUGUGAUCCUAUACC